This 57-nucleotide transfer RNA is filed under the name Chloroflexota bacterium. RNAcentral describes it as "Chloroflexi bacterium tRNA-Lys". It matches the Rfam family "tRNA", at positions 8 to 63 of the family's 71-position model. Rfam says of the family: Transfer RNA (tRNA) molecules are approximately 80 nucleotides in length. Lineage: Bacteria; Bacillati; Chloroflexota. The record is from RNAcentral.
UAGCUCAGCGGUAGAGCAGGAGACUCUUAAUCUCUUGGUCCAGGGUUCGAAUCCCUG